CCCUUGAACUAUAGCCUUCUUCUCCUUAUUCCAUGCUGUAGAAGAGACCCUUCUCUAUUCUUGGUGUGUGGAAGAUGGACACCCAACCUUUGGGUGUGGGAAAGAGAAAAGACAAAGGAUGAGGCAUGGAGAGGAGAGAGAAAGAGUUUUGAAUUCAUAAAAUUCAAUUAAAUGAAAUCCUAAGAGACUAUUUGUGAUGCCCCAGCCC
RNAcentral lists this long non-coding RNA (208 nucleotides) under Elaeis guineensis (African oil palm). Its description in RNAcentral is "long non-coding RNA (EGUI_LNC064740)". The record is from RNAcentral. Lineage: Eukaryota; Viridiplantae; Streptophyta; Magnoliopsida; Arecales; Arecaceae.